Molecule: RNA transcript, 849 nt
Organism: Lactuca sativa (garden lettuce)
Lineage: Eukaryota; Viridiplantae; Streptophyta; Magnoliopsida; Asterales; Asteraceae
Source: RefSeq, a predicted model, not a curated record
CUAAUUUACUUUCCGCGCUCUUAUUUGCUUCUAAUUUUCAUUACCCGCUCGUUAUUCCCCCCAACAUUAAAAGCUUUACACCGACCCUUUGCUCUCCUAGGUCAAAACUCAAAACAUAUUUGAAAUAUCGGAUCCCCUAAAUCAAAAUCCCUUCCAAUUUGCAAACCCUUGUCGCUCGUAUGCGUUGCAGGUUAAAUCUCAGAUUGAAGUUCAUUGCAGAUUUAAUCCAUCUCGGUAUCUCUCCGUCGAUUGAAGAUCUCUAUAUCUCAUCAUCUAUUUCAUCUUGUUCUCUGACCCCCGAAAAGUUCUGGCGUCUUCUACUUUUCUCCCCCAAAUUGAACUAUAUCUCAACAGGUGGAUUCAUUGUUGCAAAAGAGGAUGGACCAAAAAAUUUGAAGACAUUUCAACAUUCUAAACCUUUAAUAUGUUUUGUUAAAAUCAUAGGUUGAUUGGAUGAUAUUUUAAUACACAAAUUAGUCUAUGCCUUGACUAUAUGUUUCAAUAUAUAUAUAUAUAUAUAUAUAUAUAUAUAUAUAUAUAUAUAUAUAAUUCAACCAUGCUUCAGGGAGUUGUCAAAAUUUGUUUCAAAGUAGGCUAAGGAAGGGAAGGUAAUUGUUCAGAAGUUGGAUAAAUAAGAAGAGCAAUUAUACAAAGUUCGAGGUCAAUGAAGCUUCGUGUUUCUUCUCCAACAAUUACAAUUAUCUAGUUCAAUAUUAUUAUGGUUUAAGUACUUGCACCACAUUUUUAAUUAUUAAACUUUUGAGAGGAUGUUUUUAUUUUAAAUAUAUUGAAAAUAUUGUUGUUAGACAAGUUCAAAUUGACUUAAUGAUAUUGUGUUUCCAUUUAAUA